GACGAACGCUGGCGGCGUGCCUAAUACAUGCAAGUUGAGCGCUGAAGGUUGGUACUUGUACCAACUGGAUGAGCAGCGAACGGGUGAGUAACGCGUGGGGAAUCUGCCUUUGAGCGGGGGACAACAUUUGGAAACGAAUGCUAAUACCGCAUAAAAACUUUAAACACAAGUUUUAAGUUUGAAAGAUGCAAUUGCAUCGCUCAAAGAUGAUCCCGCGUUGUAUUAGCUAGUUGGUGAGGUAAAGGCUCACCAAGGCGAUGAUACAUAGCCGACCUGAGAGGGUGAUCGGCCACAUUGGGACUGAGACACGGCCCAAACUCCUACGGGAGGCAGCAGUAGGGAAUCGUCGGCAAUGGACGAAAGUCUGACCGAGCAACGCCGCGUGAGUGAAGAAGGUUUUCGGAUCGUAAAACUCUGUUGGUAGAGAAGAACGUUGGUGAGAGUGGAAAGCUCAUCAAGUGACGGUAACUACCCAGAAAGGGACGGCUAACUACGUG
RNAcentral lists this ribosomal RNA (497 nucleotides) under uncultured bacterium. RNAcentral's name for it is "partial 16S ribosomal RNA". It matches the Rfam family "Bacterial small subunit ribosomal RNA", at positions 28 to 507 of the family's 1533-position model. The record is from RNAcentral.